UCCUGGAUUCUUUUCAAAUCAAAGUGAUCCGAAAAGAUUUUUUCAGAAUUAUCACUAGGGCAUGGCUCUAGAUACGGUGCAAUAAUGAUUUUGUCAGCUGUCAGCCAUUUUCAACAGACUGUCAUAGUGAGUGGGACACACGGCAAGUGUAGGUCAGCCAAAGGAGAUCCGCGAUCAUAACUGCUCCAGGCCCUGUUGCCUAUUUAAACACGUCCGCCUCCUUCAGGUGUUUCACUUUGCCUGAG
RNAcentral lists this long non-coding RNA (245 nucleotides) under Elaeis guineensis (African oil palm). Its description in RNAcentral is "long non-coding RNA (EGUI_LNC063592)". The record is from RNAcentral. Lineage: Eukaryota; Viridiplantae; Streptophyta; Magnoliopsida; Arecales; Arecaceae.